GGAUGCGAUCAUACCAGCACUAAAGCACCGGAUCCCAUCAGAACUCCGAAGUUAAGCGUGCUUGGGCGAGAGUAGUACUAGGAUGGGCGACCUCCUGGGAAGUCCUCGUGUUGCAUUCC
This 119-nucleotide ribosomal RNA is filed under the name Triticum aestivum (bread wheat). RNAcentral also lists the same sequence under 1 other name. Lineage: Eukaryota; Viridiplantae; Streptophyta; Magnoliopsida; Poales; Poaceae. The record is from RNAcentral.